Molecule: ribosomal RNA, 650 nt
Filed under: uncultured bacterium
Lineage: Bacteria
Description: bacterial SSU rRNA
Rfam family: Bacterial small subunit ribosomal RNA
Source: RNAcentral
GGGUGAGUAAUAUAUCGGAACGUGCCCAGUCGUGGGGGAUAACGCAGCGAAAGCUGUGCUAAUACCGCAUACGAUCUCUGGAUGAAAGCGGGGGACUCGCAAGAGCCUCGCGCGAUUGGAGCGGCCGAUAUCAGAUUAGCUAGUUGGCGGGGUAAAAGCCCACCAAGGCGACGAUCUGUAGCUGGUCUGAGAGGACGACCAGCCACACUGGAACUGAGACACGGUCCAGACUCCUACGGGAGGCAGCAGUGGGGAAUUUUGGACAAUGGGCGCAAGCCUGAUCCAGCAAUGCCGCGUGCAGGAUGAAGGCCUUCGGGUUGUAAACUGCUUUUGUACGGAACGAAACGGUUCUCUUUAAUAAAGGGGGCUAAUGACGGUACCGUAAGAAUAAGCACCGGCUAACUACGUGCCAGCAGCCGCGGUAAUACGUAGGGUGCGAGCGUUAAUCGGAAUUACUGGGCGUAAAGCGUGCGCAGGCGGUGAUGUAAGACAGAUGUGAAAUCCCCGGGCUCAACCUGGGACCUGCAUUUGUGACUGCAUUGCUAGAGUACGGUAGAGGGGGAUGGAAUUCCGCGUGUAGCAGUGAAAUGCGUAGAUAUGCGGAGGAACACCGAUGGCGAAGGCAAUCCCCUGGACCUGUACUGACGCUC